CGAUGGCCGAACGACAACAGCAGCACGCCCCCGACUGCCCACUCUGACGACGAUUCCUGCGGUCCAGAUGUUGCUAACUGAAUCCUUCGGCCAGGCAUCUUGCUCUCUUAUUUUUCUUCAUACAGGGCCGAUCAAUUGUCAUGGUGUCCUUAAGCACAAUUCACAAGCUUCCCCGUUAUCUCUGGGUUAUAGAUUUGUUGCACUCAAUGGAAACUGGGAGCAUUACUCUCCUUGACUGGAAUCAGUGGCCAGAUUAUAGAUCACACAAGCUGUUGGUUAAAGAUGGAGAUAAAGACAUGCUUUUGUGACCAAGGGGUGGAAUUCUUUUCAGCUUACAGAAACCUUCUUACCAACAUCGCUUCUUGCCGACGCACCAAUCUUUAAAAACGAACUGAUAGCUACAUGAUUUUACUUUGUAUUCCUUGGUUUAAAUCAUGUAUACAGUGUAGUGUUUGCUUUUUGACAAUUUCUUAUUCACCUGUAUGCUUUCUUUUGCAAGUUCAUUCCCAAUCUCUAAUAGCCAAUUAAUGACUGCAUGAUCUGGUUCUGCUUUAGUGCCCUCAAACUGUACUUUCAGUUAGAUGCCCAUUGAAUAAUGAUUGCUUAAUCUUCCUAUCAUUUUCCUUUGAAAUUGUGCUUCACAAAUAGUAGUCAAACAAGACUACCAUUUACUCAGGCCAUGCUUUCAAUCCCACGCCUAUUGACUAAUGAUUGCUUCUUCAGGCAUGGAAAUCCCUGUGCUGACGGUGCUUGCAAAUAUUUUCAGCCAUGGAAUAUGUGAUGUAAGGUGCAGGGGAGUAUGCGUGUCCCCAUUGGCAGAGAUCCCUGCUUUUGAAAUUUUUCCGUUUAAAAUUCAGAUAUGUCGAGUUAAGUAAAAUUCAGUGGUGAAGAAAGUCUUACGAUGUACAAUUAUUUUAGUGUAAAUCUCCGUUGGAAAAAAAUCAGUUAGUAAAGAAGGAAUACAUCAUCCUUUUUGUUAUAACAAUGUUUAUGAUACUUUGUUGCAGAGAACAAAGGGGUUGUAAGAUAUAUGGCAUAACAUGAUAAAAAACAAUGAAAUCUUAGGUAAAGAGAUAUGCUUGCUGCUCCGGUAUCAAGUGAAGAUCUUGGUUCAAUAUGCUUGUCCAGCGCCUGAAGUAUUUGGAUGAACAGUAUGUCAAUGUCAACCUACAUGAUGAUGACUUUUUCUACGCCGAGCAUUGUGAUCAAGAUGUCAAAGAAAAAAAAAAUCCCUGUUGUGGUGUGUGCAUUAUGAUUAUCCUUAUACAGUGGGCACAACUACUUGCUGUCCGGAUAAGCUUACUCCUUAAUACUACUCUACAUUUAGGAAUGCAGUGAGUAUGUGGUGUUUUUUUCUUCUGAUGUGCAGAGUGGUGCAGUUGGAUAGUUGUUCAAGAUAAUUUUGCCUGAAGUUUUGAUAUAUUUUUAUAUUUUGAUAUAAUGUGAUCUGCCCAAAAAAUAGACAAAUAUGAAAAUUAUAUGGUCA
Molecule: long non-coding RNA, 1486 nt
Organism: Triticum dicoccoides
Lineage: Eukaryota; Viridiplantae; Streptophyta; Magnoliopsida; Poales; Poaceae
Exons: 4
Source: RefSeq, a predicted model, not a curated record